Pezoporus flaviventris is the source of this 2125-nucleotide long non-coding RNA. RefSeq lists it as uncharacterized. The record is from RefSeq and is a predicted model, not a curated record. NCBI's taxonomy places the organism in Eukaryota, Metazoa, Chordata, Aves, Psittaciformes, Psittacidae. The transcript is spliced from 3 exons.
GGGGAUUUCCGCACCACUGCAAUGAUUUCACGUGAGUUUUGAAAGUCCUUUGCAAAGGCAUUGACUGUGCAAUGUCAUUGUACUGCCUGCUGUAUGAAAAAUUGCUAGGGAUGGAGAAAUGUCACCAAAAGCCCAGAGAUAGUCUGAUAUUGGUCCCUGCGAUAUCGCUUUGUUUUUAGAUGAGUGAACUUUCCCUGGAGAAAUUUAAGGGCUAAUGUGUGCUUGGUGUUGUAUGAUCUAGAUCAGUAUUGUGAUAGUGGGAGAAAUAUCUUUUACUGCAGUGUCUAAACAUAAUUCCUAGCACGAAUGGAGAGACACUGACAAAAAGGAGUCUGUAAUAUUUUUAGUUGUGUGAGACACGUGCUGUGGUACUUACUGCUAGCCACCAUGGUCUCCUGGCUUAAGGCUGCAACAUGAUGUUUUCCAUUAAGAAAAAAAUAGGAGCUCAGAGACAAGCUCAGUCCCAGGGCAGGACCUGCUAAGCUUAAAGCACCCUGUUCCUCCAGGAACAGAAAAGAUUCUGCCUCGUUCUUGAGGGACUUAUCUCAGGGCUCAAGUUAACUGCUAGGAGGUUCUCCCUAACAGCCAGCCUGUAUCACCUUUGAAGCAAAUUCAAAUAUUAUUUGUCCUCUCCAUAGUAAUAUGGAAAAAGGACACUCUUUGUACCAUACUUUUUGAGUUAUAUUUUACCUAUCACACCUUCUUAUAGCCUUUCCUAUGCUAAACAACAGUCUUAUUUCAAACUUCUCUUACAAUUUGCUCCCAUUGAAAAAGUCAGGCCCAAUCAAAACCAUGCAAAACCACCAAUCCUUCCUUGAAAUACAGCUCAGUAUUCUUGCAUUAUUAGCUUUUACCAGCGCUAGGAGGUGCUCCCACAUAAAGAAGUCCUACAGUAGACUCCACUAAAACAACAAAAACCACCUACUGAUAGAGAUGGGAGACUCCUUCCUUCUUAAGUGCUGCUGCCUACCUAAUUGGGAUGCUCACAGAGUAUAAACCAGCCAUUUCCUACUCUGCUGGAAUUGUAAUGAAUUGUAGUUAUCCUAGUGGGCUUAAACAAUUGCUGCUGCUUGUGUAGAUAGUUCUUGCCUUUUAUAGGUGCUCUGGGGGGAGAGUAAAACAUGUAUAGCCUGUUCCAGCAGCAUCCAGGGUGAGUAGUCCACUGAUCUGAUCUUCCAAAGGUAUUUCUUUAAACAGCUUGCUCACUGUAGAAUUGUUAUGAUGACUUUUAGAUGUCUGUGUUGCCAGGUAUAGGACAAGUUUAAUAUUUCCCUGUCAGUAUAGAUAAACAGGCAGUAUUCAUUGAGUUCUUUCUUGUAUGUAAAUAUGAGCAACAAAGAGAGGUUAGUGGGGAAAGGUGAACUACAGCUCUGUCCCUACAGGUGUAGUAUAACUCAGAGUGAAAUUAUAAUUCCAUAUGCUUACUGUGAUAAAGAUUCAGCUAAGGAUGCGGGAGUCAAAGAAUGGAAGGAGGAUGUAAAAAAAAGCAUUACUAGCUAUGUAUGGGUACUUUAAAGUGUGACUGUGUAUGAACUGGUCUAGCAAUGAAAACUAAUUACCUGACUUUUCAUCAUCUUUUCUUCCAUAACUAUGUAUCAGUUGUUUCAUGGAUCUUAAAUAGCCAGAUACUCUGAAACAUGUUGUUUGACUGUAAGGCUUCUACUGAGAUCAUGCCCAGGAGCAGCAAAAAUCAUGCUGGGAGCUCAGCAGAUUUGGAUCUACAGCAUGACUCCUCAAAGCAAUCUGUAUCAGGAGAGAAAAAAAAACUAACAUGGCAGCAAGCAAGGUUUAAAGAUGUGUAGGUGUUGGUAGUCUCUGAUGAGCUGUCUGUACUUAAUUCCCUCUCAGCUGACAUGGUAAGCAUGUCCUGAGAAUGGAUGCUAUAGCAACUUGGGGCCUAACUCCUCUUUGUGUGGGGAAGAAUGCAAAUGAAGGGAAAUAACUGAAGGGAAUUGGGCUUAAGAAAGCUCCGACCACUGCUAGACUGUUCCGACCUUGCUGGGGCUCUUGCAAAAUGUUAGAACUGUGACCUCCCAGAAGUUAGAUGUUGGUUGCAGCACAGUGCCUGCUUUUGAGUGGGAUGUGAAACUGAGGGUGUGCCAUUCCCUGUGUCCUUGUGAAUCCU